UCCCGGUUUGUAAUUCAAUUUUAUUAUUUAUUGGGUUAUAAAUGCAUUUUACAAAUUGGGCUUUUCCUAAAUGAUUUUUGGGUUUUAUUAGGGUACUGAAUUUUUAAUUUUUUAGGUUUCUUGUUGGUAUAAAGCUUAUGAGCAUCAUUUGUGUGUGUGUGUGUGUGUAUAUAUAUAUAAUUUUUUUUUAAUUAGAAAUUCGAGAGCAAUCGAGAAGAAAGGUACUUUUAUGUAUUUUUUGGAAACUUGAAACCAAAAAUGGAAUAUUAUUGAAUUAAUGAAUUUGAAACCAAAAACUCUCCAUCUAUUCUUUGCUUACCAGUUGAAUCUGCCUGCUUUACAUGGUCUCUAGCAGGAGUUGAGCAGCUAAUUGCUAAGAUUUGAAUGAAAGUGAGUUACGGGGUUGGAUUAAAAUUGAUCUGUUCAAUAGUAAUGUAAUUAGAAGCACGUGUCUUAGUUGCUUGUAUAUUGGGUUAAUGUUGGAAAAUUUACUUAAGAGGUUGUAAAAGAGUUAUGUGGAUCAAUCAAAAUGGUAGUUAGACCAAAAACCAUUAUGAUGCCUCUUCUUAACUACAAUCAGGGUAAAAAAGAUUAGUAAUUAUUGGACUGAUAUUGAUAUUAGAGAAGCUUGCAUCAGAGCUAUGAACUCAGAUUGCCCAUCAUGCUGUCAUGAAUUCAACAACCAUGUUGCUUUUAGAAACACUGCAUAACUCUGUACAAAUUGACUAGACGUAGAUCAACUUUUGAUGUUGAGUACUUUUGAUUAAUGUCAAAUUUGUAUUCAAGUUGCGCUCAAACGACUUGGUAUUGGAUUGUGUAUACUAGGAUUUUCU
RNAcentral lists this long non-coding RNA (833 nucleotides) under Olea europaea subsp. europaea. Lineage: Eukaryota; Viridiplantae; Streptophyta; Magnoliopsida; Lamiales; Oleaceae. The record is from RNAcentral.